RNAcentral lists this long non-coding RNA (392 nucleotides) under Olea europaea (common olive). RNAcentral describes it as "long non-coding RNA (OEUR_LNC001798)". Lineage: Eukaryota; Viridiplantae; Streptophyta; Magnoliopsida; Lamiales; Oleaceae. The record is from RNAcentral.
GGGGAGUAAUCAAGCAAUUGGAGGUGGUAACAGAUCUUACAGACCCAGCUCAAACCCAAAUGGGGGAGAGCGCUACUCUCAAAAUAGAGAAGGAGCCUAUCAAAGCACCCGUGGCUUUCAGGGAAAUUAUCAUAACAGCCGUCAGGGAAAUUUUAACGGCAGUAAUAGUAACAACUGGAACAAAGGGAAAGCAACGGAGGGCCGAACUGAUGCCACUCUAAAAUUGAAGUGCUUUUUAUGUGAAGGACCUCAUCGGGUGUCGGAGUGUCCUCAGAAGCGGAUGGUGAAUGCAUAUUGUCAGUUAGCAAGUGGCGGGCCAAGUUCAAAACAAGAGGUCCCGCAAGCUAAUUGUCAUAAUGAGACUGACUCUGAAGAGGAUGAGGAAGUAGUUG